AAUCAACGCUGGCGGCGUGCCUCAGACAUGCAAGUCGAACGAUUAAAGCUCUCUUCGGAGAGUGUAUAGAGUGGCGCACGGGUGAGUAACACGUAAGUAAUCUACCUUUGAGUGGGGAAUAACAGUCGGAAACGACUGCUAAUACCGCAUAAUGCAGCGGCAUCGCAAGAUGACAGUUGUUAAAGGAGCAAUCCGCUUAAAGAGGAGCUUGCGGCAGAUUAGCUAGUUGGUAAGGUAAUGGCUUACCAAGGCUACGAUCUGUAUCCGGUCUAAGAGGACGGUCGGACACACUGACACUGAAUAACGGGUCAGACUCCUACGGGAGGCAGCAGUCGGGAAUUUUGGGCAAUGGGCGAAAGCCUGACCCAGCAACGCCGCGUGAAGGAUGAAGUAUUUCGGUAUGUAAACUUCGAAAGAAUGGGAAGAUAAAUGACGGUACCAUUUAUAAGGUCCGGCUAACUACGUGCCAGCCGCCGCCGUAAG
RNAcentral lists this ribosomal RNA (483 nucleotides) under uncultured bacterium. RNAcentral describes it as "bacterial SSU rRNA". It matches the Rfam family "Bacterial small subunit ribosomal RNA", at positions 32 to 524 of the family's 1533-position model. The record is from RNAcentral.